RNAcentral lists this microRNA precursor (194 nucleotides) under Oryza brachyantha (malo sina). RNAcentral's name for it is "MIR812 microRNA precursor family". It matches the Rfam family "MIR812 microRNA precursor family". The record is from Rfam by way of RNAcentral. Lineage: Eukaryota; Viridiplantae; Streptophyta; Magnoliopsida; Poales; Poaceae.
AAUAAAUUCAUCUUUAACUUUUUAUCUAUAACGUUUGACUCUUCGUCUUAUUAAAAAAUUACGAUUAACAUUUUUGUUUCUAUUAGAUGAUAAAUCAUAAAUAGUAUUUUACGUGUGACUAAUUUAUUUAUAAUUUCUUGAAAUCUUUUCAAAUAAGACGGAUAAUGAAACGCGGAACACGGAAUGGUCUUAUU